GACUCUUUCGGGUAGUCUUCAGAUUAACUUAAUGCUUUUGCUUACGCUAGACUUGGGCAGAGGUUUUCAUUUUAUUUUGCUGAUUUUAGAUAUGCAAAAUUUGAUGGCAUCAUUCUGAAUAAUUUUGCAACUUGGCCAAGUUAUUCUAAUGGUUGACAAAUGAUAGGAUAUCUCCCGGCUGUUGAAGAAAUAAGUUCCAUUUUUGUCUGAUUGAGCUGCAGGCCAUUUGUGAUUCUUCUUCACUAUGUUUUCUCUUAUACUGUGUUUUCUGUUCUCCUGUUUUUGACAACUUCGAGUGAAUCAUAAUAUUUUCCUGGA
RNAcentral lists this unclassified non-coding RNA (318 nucleotides) under Hevea brasiliensis (rubber tree). Lineage: Eukaryota; Viridiplantae; Streptophyta; Magnoliopsida; Malpighiales; Euphorbiaceae. The record is from RNAcentral.